This 1174-nucleotide long non-coding RNA is filed under the name Strigops habroptila (Kakapo). RNAcentral's name for it is "lncRNA (ENSSHBG00005007334.1)". Lineage: Eukaryota; Metazoa; Chordata; Aves; Psittaciformes; Psittacidae. The record is from RNAcentral.
AUUUUUCCGGCGGCAGCGUCAGGGGCGGAGUCAUUGGCGUCAGGAGCGGUGUCAGGGGCGGAGUCAACGGUAUCAGGGGCGGAGUCAGCGGCGUCAGGGGCGGAGCAGCGCCGGAAGGGGCAGUAGCAGUGGCGGCAGGAGCGGCGGCAGUCUCGGCAGCAGGGGCGGCGGCGGGCGAGUUGGUGACCCCGACGUGAUCGUCAGACGAUAGUACCGGGAGCAACUCCGAAGGAGAGGACGAGCUGGAGAGCCGAGCCAGCGGGACUGGAGUCGGAGCAGAUCAGAGGACGGUCCGUGAAAAAGAACGUACGUUGCAACGGGACACCCUUAGAGCGAUGAAGGCAGAGCGAUCAGCUGCUGCCGGAGCUUUUAUAGCUUUACAGCUCCCAUCGUCUGAGAUCAAAAUUUUCAAUUGGCUCCCUGUCCCUUCCCCCGCUGCCCUAUCGGCACCUCCGAUAGAGGACGAGGUGGAUUCCUGGAAAGACGAGGGGAUGGAAGUGGAUGAAUCCUGGCCUGUACCGCUGCCUCCCGACCCUUGCGUAGAAAAGCCACCCAGGGAGAGCCGCCACCCGUCCCACCCGACCCGUCUCGCCCCAAGAGGCAGCCAUCGCUUUUUCCACCUCUCCCUCUGUCCGUGCCUCCCCCGCCAACGUCUCCAUGAAAAUCAUCCACGCUCGAGCCCCACAGGGAACCGGACUGGGCACAGAAACUACUUCGAAAGUUGUAGGAUUUGGAAAGAGAUAAGAUCGCUCAAGAAGAACACGUGGGAGGAGGAGGGUGUGAUAGCACGCUUGGGAAGCUCCAGGGGGUGGGGGGAGGCAAGAGGCGAAGCUGCAGGAAGCUCCAGGGGGUGGGGGGAGGCGACAGGCGAAACUGCUAAAACUGACGGGGACCCAACACGGCGAUGGAGAGGGAUUAUUCAGAAUGCGUUAGUGGAAGGAGAAUUCCUUCCUGCGGCAUUCCUGGUAAUUUUGGGUGGAACGACACCGGGCGGGCUGCAGCGACCUAAUCAUUGGGAGGGCUUUCAUUGGGAAAUCAUGAAGGAGGCAUUACUAAUGUCGUUAGCUGUGCAAAAUGCUAAUGUUGCAUGCAAGCGCGUUCUAAUGGCUUUAUCAAAAAAUUCUAGUAUUGUGCAAAUGGUGGAGGCAUAACCUAAAAAAAAAAAACAAAAAAC